CUCUUCUUUCUCACUUGUCAAUCCCAACACAGUUCUACAACCUUCUGUGGCAAAAUCCCAAUUCAGAGUCCCUUUCUGAGUUCAAAUUCAACUGUUCCAUCCCCAUUAAAAUCACAUGAUACUAUGCAGAUCUCAGAAGCUGUUCUUCAGAACCUCUCUUGGUCUUUUCCCAGUUUCUUCAGUAGACUACACAACUAAAACAUUAAUCAUUUCUCACCCUUCUUGCUCUUCUUCUCGGCACUUUGUCUCUCCUGCUCUUCUGUCUGCUGGUUUUCCUACUCCUCCAAAGCCUAACUCACUUCUUCUCUUCAACUGCUCAACCAAAAUUUAUCCAAUGACAUCAUUUAAAGGUAACAACACUAGCUUGAAGGGUUGUGCAGCUUCAUCUGAAACUCAACAACUUGAAGGCCCUUAUUCAUGUCUACUUGUUAAUGAUGUUGAAAAGCUCGACAAGGGUUUUCAUCCAAAAGAUUUGAAUUGUUCACAUUACAGCAGGGUGUAUAGAAGUUCUUCAAAUGAUGAUUACAACAAGGAAUAUGAAUUGGGGACAAGGAUAUCCUUCGACAUUCCUGAUCAUGUGCCAGAUAUCUGCAAUGAAUGCGGAAAGCCUAAUGGAAAUUGUGGAGUGGGAUUGAGAUGUAUAUGCCACCCUAAAGAGUGUAGAGAUAA
Molecule: unclassified non-coding RNA, 669 nt
Filed under: Hevea brasiliensis (rubber tree)
Lineage: Eukaryota; Viridiplantae; Streptophyta; Magnoliopsida; Malpighiales; Euphorbiaceae
Source: RNAcentral